UACAGAGGUCUCAAGCGUUGUUCGGAUUCAUUGGGCGUAAAGGGCGCGUAGGCGGGCGGUUUUGUCGGCGGUGAAAUCCUUCAGCUUAACUGGAGAAUGGCCGCCGAAACGGAUCGCCUCGAGGGAGGUAGGGGCAUGUGGAACUUCCGGUGGAGCGGUGAAAUGCGUAGAUAUCGGAAGGAACGCCGGUGGCGAAGGCGGCUGCCUGGCCCAAUACUGACACUCAGGUGCGACAGCGUGGGGAGCAAACAGG
RNAcentral lists this ribosomal RNA (253 nucleotides) under uncultured bacterium. RNAcentral describes it as "partial 16S ribosomal RNA". It matches the Rfam family "Bacterial small subunit ribosomal RNA", at positions 524 to 776 of the family's 1533-position model. The record is from RNAcentral.